UACGAGGGGGGCGAGCGUUGUUCGGAAUUAUUGGGCGUAAAGGGUGCGUAGGCGGCCUGACAAGUCUGAUGUGAAAUCCCCUGGGCUCAACCCAGGGCCUGCAUCGGAAACUGUCGGGCUUGAGUAUGGGAGAGGUGAGUGGAAUUUCCGGUGUAGCGGUGAAAUGCGUAGAUAUCGGAAGGAACACCUGUGGCGAAAGCGGCUCACUGGACCAUUACUGACGCUGAGGCACGAAAGCUAGGGGAGCAAACAGG
RNAcentral lists this ribosomal RNA (254 nucleotides) under uncultured bacterium. RNAcentral describes it as "partial 16S ribosomal RNA". It matches the Rfam family "Bacterial small subunit ribosomal RNA", at positions 524 to 776 of the family's 1533-position model. The record is from RNAcentral.